Molecule: ribosomal RNA, 253 nt
Filed under: uncultured bacterium
Lineage: Bacteria
Description: partial 16S ribosomal RNA
Rfam family: Bacterial small subunit ribosomal RNA
Source: RNAcentral
UACAGAGACUGCGAGCGUUAUUCGGAUUCACUGGGCGUAAAGGGUGCGCAGGCGGCCGUGUGUGUGAGGCGUGAAAGCCCGGGGCUUAACCCCGGAAUUGCACCUCAAACUACACGGCUAGAGCAUUGGAGAGGGUAGCGGAAUUCACGGUGUAGCAGUGAAAUGCGUAGAUAUCGUGAGGAACACCAGUGGCGAAGGCGGCGACCUGGGCCAAUAUUGACGCUGAGGUGCGAAAGCGUGGGGAGCAAACAGG